Phascolarctos cinereus (koala) is the source of this 539-nucleotide long non-coding RNA. RefSeq lists it as uncharacterized. NCBI's taxonomy places the organism in Eukaryota, Metazoa, Chordata, Mammalia, Diprotodontia, Phascolarctidae. The record is from RefSeq and is a predicted model, not a curated record.
GUUAUCUCAUUUGAUUCUUACAACAACCCUGCAAGUCUUCCUUUUGCUCCUUUUGGUAGGUAACGCGAAGCCUGGCUGCCAAGCAAUCCUGCUACAAUCCUUCUCUGGAAAAUGAUAUCUUCCAUGACUAGGUGACCAAACAGCAGUCUUGAGAUGGACACAUUGCAUCCUCGGAUGCAAUCUCAUGAGUUUGAGAACAUCCCAGUGAGACUGAGUGGAAGCAGGAGCUUACACAUCAGACACGAUGACCAGUAAAAGAAUGAGCCCUAUCACUGGCCUACCUCAACAGAAGACGUUGACCUGGAGGGAUAUAUUUGGAUACUGCAGAGUAAAGGUGAAAUGUGAAAUCACAAUUCAGCAGCAGUCUUUCAAGCUGCUUCAUGUCCUAUUUCUUGAGUCUUGACCUCCCAGGAGAGUACUUAUAUGUAAUAAGAGUUAUACAUAAUAACAGUUUUAAGUUACUGCUGUUCGUGUUUUUCUAUCAGUGCAUAUUUCUGAGUUUUGUGCAUGUUGAACAUCUGUUUUGUGCAAAUAAAUAU